RNAcentral lists this ribosomal RNA (169 nucleotides) under uncultured bacterium. Its description in RNAcentral is "partial 16S ribosomal RNA". It matches the Rfam family "Bacterial small subunit ribosomal RNA", at positions 383 to 549 of the family's 1533-position model. The record is from RNAcentral.
CUGAACCAGCCAAGUAGCGUGAAGGAUGACUGCCCUAUGGGUUGUAAACUUCUUUUAUAUGGGAAUAAAGUUUUCCACGUGUGGCUUUUUGUAUGUACCAUAUGAAUAAGGAUCGGCUAACUCCGUGCCAGCAGCCGCGGUAAUACGGAGGAUCCGAGCGUUAUCCGGA